Scophthalmus maximus (turbot) is the source of this 8338-nucleotide long non-coding RNA. RefSeq lists it as uncharacterized. NCBI's taxonomy places the organism in Eukaryota, Metazoa, Chordata, Actinopteri, Pleuronectiformes, Scophthalmidae. The record is from RefSeq and is a predicted model, not a curated record. The transcript is spliced from 3 exons.
AUUCACUUUCUAUGACGUCUCGGGGCCUAACAUAGAAACGUGUAGACUACUGCUGCCGGCCCACGGACUGUGCGUUUCAUUGGAAUGAGCUGAGGGAGAUGAAAGGCUAAGCAAACAGAGAAAUCCUUGACUUCAGUAGUCAUGACACCACAUUUCCUGGUCUGACUCAUUAGUGACACAGGAUAAGUAAAUAUAAAGCAUGCUGAGGACAUCGUAGGAGGAACAAAGAUGGUGUAAAUAUACACCACAGAUAGACAAACCAUCUAGCCGAAGGCGCUUUUCAAUUGUACCCGGGCUUCUGUGGUGAGACAUUACAUCGGCCAUUGAGCAGGUUAACAGGGCUGUGACACAGGACUCAACCCCCUAAUUCCCUUUCAACAGCUUUAUAUGUCCUUGGGCUUUGAUGAAGCAAAAUGAUAAAUGCUCUCUAUCCCGCACAUUGACCACCUUCCUCUCCUGCUUACUCCUUCUAUGCCAGAUAUUUAAUUGAAUUUUAUCUUUGUGUGUGUGUGUGUGUUUUACAGGUCUACAUAUGAUGCAGAUUUGUGUUAUUAACAUGUUUUCAUGGGAGGCCCGCUAGGGAAAGAGAGAGAGAGUUUAGCUCGAGUAUAGGAAAACAAAAAGGGGUGGGGGAUUAGAGGUAUGUCAGACCAGCCAUGCAAGAUUUAUCAUCCAUUUAUAUUCUCCCAAACACACACUCAGCACCAUAAUCUAAACACAGGGCAAAGACUCCUAAAUAACCCCACAUGGUCACAUUCACAAUAAAACUUUUCCACAAUAGUUUAGGCACACAUGACUGAGUUUGAGAAAAAAGAAAGGACAAAAAGUUUUUUGUUGUUGUUAUUAUUUUAAAGGUAUUUGUAGACUAAAAACCAUUAAUGGUAAUUUAUUAGCAUUGACAGCGAUUGUAAUCAAACAUGUUUAUUCGUCUGGGUAGUUUAUAUUAAGGAGAGAGGUCAUGAAAAGUUGGUGACAUGUUUAUUUAGACAAAAGAUAACUAGGACAUGUUAAAACAGGUGGAUAAGUAGAAAAGAAAAAGUGUUCCAAUGAGUUUUUUUGAAAUAUGAAGUAAUUCAAAUAUUCUUCCUACUUUGAUACUGGAAAUUAUGGUAAAAUGUUUUAAAUAUCAUUUAUUACCUUUAUUAUUUUUUUAGAUGUUGCUUUGUGUACUUCCAGUUUCGCUAAAAUAUUUCUCCCUCCAUUCGCAUGCUUUUGCGCUCGUAGCCUGAGAUUGUUUUGCUCGGGCCAACAGAUAAAGAUCAUGAUAAUUAAUAUUUCAAACAGUUAUCUAUUCCUCGUGGCAGCUCUGUAUACACAGAGGCAUCCGUGCCGGACCUUUUUUGGCCGCUGUUUCCUCACAGAAAAAGUUGCUCUGUUUUGUUUGUUCUUAAAGGCGAGGCACAGUUGUGCGAGAGUCCGAGUGCAUGACGCAGCACUGCCGCGGGAGGAGAGCGUCGGACACACACAGAGCAAACAAGAUAUUAAGUCAUAAUUGAUUGUGCUGGUGCAAGGUCACCAUGGGCCAACAUUUGCUCGAACAUUAGUUAUGUUCUAUAUUUAUCGUUCUAUGAACGCAGGUAUUAAUCUGCUCAGGGCCUGAUGUGCCCACCAAGUGGACCAGGGGCAACAAUACGCUGUGGUCCCCUAUACUGACCAUCCAGUUUCUCCAGCUCUCUUAGCUCUGUUUAUGUAACAGGCACACAAGUAUUUAGAAAAAUGUGGAAAUUCGAGCGAUUUAGCACAUCCUUGAGAAUCUUUUUUUUUCAUAUUAACAAUGAGUCACAAAUAUUGACCAAGCAAACUCGCAGCUCGGCAAAGCGCCAUAUUGACUUUAAGUUCAUUGUUCUUUCACUCACACCGUUCUCGUGAUGUUGUUUUUGGCUGAACUGCAGCUUAUUUUUUUUGUGAAACUUUCUAAAAAACCCAGUGCAGUGCAAAAUGGCAAAGUUAGAGACUAGCUAGUGAGCACAGCAGAUCAUGUAGCUGCUGAAGAGCCAGAUGUGGCCCUCAAACCCAGCCCCAGUUAGCUCUGGCCCAAUCCAACCCAUACCCAUAAGGCUCUACAAUGUGUAUAGUAAUUGUGGUAUGGUGUCAAAAACAUAUUCGUUUAACCAAAAUACCAAAAUUGCCUGUAGGAGCCUAAAGGUUUUGGGGAAAUCUAGACCAGUUCUGGCCUUGGUAGUCCGGCCUCCAUUAGAAUGAGCGGUUAGGGGAUAAGUACAUCUCAUAUCCUAUGUGCUUUAUGUGUUUCAUACAGCAAAUACACAAACUCACACACCAGUGAACUCACAGUCACAAUGUCACAAAACAGAGUCUUUUUGUGUUGGAGGGAAGAAGCAAAAAAGUCUUUGGCUUUAGAAGAAGCCACCUUGGCAAGUUAAAACUCUUGCGUUCCUAUAACAUAAAUAAUCAUGCUGGAGUUUCUGUCCUGCAUGGAGCGGCCCAGUGGUGGACAUGCACACGGGGCCCCAGCGACUGCUUCCAUGCUGAUGAUUAAAACCAUUCCAGGCUCCUCCAUGUCCACGGCCAACGAACUCCAGGACUACUGCAGGGAGCGUGUCAGCUGCGGUAGGUUUAGAGCAGAGAGCGAUUGGCGGAGGGUACCGUCUGGUCUGGAGUCUCAUUUUAACAAUGAGCGGGACCAGCAGCUCUGUCAAACACAGGGAUCAGAGAGGAAUGGACCAUAACGUCAACUCCGACGAGUCCAAGGUUUGGAUGCUAUUGUAGAGAAAAGGUGUUGGGUAUGUGCUGCUUUGCCAAGUUUACUCGGUCUGGCUUUCUUUUAUUAGCUUGGCAGUUCGCAGAGGCUCGGGCAUUAAAGCUGCACAAGGUAAUGUCUCAUACGGACGGUGCCAAACGGCAGUGAAAAGUGAGGCAAUCACUGCCCGCUGAUCGGGACAGCAAUACAAUAAACAUCAUCUUUGAAAUGGGCUGGUGACUUUGGAAGUGCUGAGGAGUUGCAGGCAUUGUUUGCUUGUCCAAAUUUUUUUUCUGAAUGGAGAAUUUUGUAUUUCACUCACCUUUUAAGAUUCAGUAGUCUGAUAUAUUACUCAUUCAUUUGGAGUUAUGUUUGAUUCCAUCUAUCAAAAAAUUCCUUCUCCUUAACUUUUAAAAGUUAGAGAGAAGGAAGAAUCUGAACCAAAACAACAAGCUGAAAGCUGCUUAAACACUCCAAAGAGUGAAGGGGAUAUUGAGAGUUGGGUAAUAAUCACCUUGUUUUCUCCCAUUAGUUUUUUGUUUGUCUGUUCAUGAGCAGGAUUACACAAAAACUACUGAACAAAUGUCCAUGAAACUUGGUGGAAGGAUUGCACAUGGGCCAGGAAGCCUUAAAUUUUGGCGCACAAUUGGACAAAGGGGCGGAUGCAGGAAUAAAUAGGAUCUUAGGAACCUGUAACUACCACCAAUGUGUAGCUGAGAUAAUGUGAAUUCAGUAGAGAAUCAGUGGUUUCUUAAAAAAUGUUGUAGUGUUUUUUUAGGUUGCAAAUAGAUUCUUAAUCGUCAUGUAAUUUUAAAUAGGAAUUUUCCAUAUUUUUACCCACUUGUCCUCAUUGCUGUCUAACAAAGGGACUAUUUCCAAUUGAAAAGGUUAAUGGUGAGGUCUGUGGACCAUCUAGAGUAACGAGGAUGUUUUUUGGAAAGGCAAAAGGAAGUUGAAUUUAGUAAAUGUCAUUUUUCAAUGAUGUAAGUGCAACAAAUACAAAAUUCCAUUCACAUCCAUUGUAUUGGGCUUGCAGCAAAAACCCCGAAACAUUGGUAGGUGCUUUAGCUCAUGGGAUAGGUGAGAAAAUGUGUUGAACUGACCUUCCAAUUAAAAAAGUAUAUUCACAUAUAUAAGCUCAACAACACGCUCUAAUUAAAGAUGUAGUGAUCAAGUUGGACUUUUGGCCCCUGUGUGUCAGUGUUCUCCUUUGAUUAGCUCUCCAACUCUGUGUCUGGAGACAGUCCUGUGAAAAACACUGUAGGAAAAAAUGUUGAUAGAAAUCAACACACAUCCUGCAUCCCCUCAGAAUGAGUUCCCCAACAUAAACACUAUCAAUUUUCUCCCUGUGUUAGGGCCAGGCUCCAAACUCUGCCGUCUAAUUCUGUUUGUGCCGUUUCUCCCAUCCUGCCCAGAUUUGGCCACAAGUGUCUCCUACUUGGAAACAGGACUGCCUCUUUUUCUCCCUCUCCAUCCCUCUUACUAACCCCAGUUUGUCCCAGAACAUGACCCCGACUACACACAUGACUAAGGACGUGUCUGCUCGCAGGAAUCCCUCCAUUUAGACUGGAAGGUGGGGCCGAGCUCAAGCUAAGCCCACAUUCCUUGUCCUAGAAGGAUUACAGAGCUGAGGAUGAAGUGAAGGACCUUUUUCCCAUUACAUAAUGGCAGUUUUUUUCUUCUUCUUUUCCGAAGAAGAUACGAUCCCACGCUAACAGAGAUGAUGUGCAGACCUGCGGUGGUGUCGAGUGUCAGCAUUAAACCCUCCCAAACCGCUGCGCUCCACCAGCCAACAUCACCACCGUUUCAAUUUGGCCCAGAGCUGUGUGAAAGACGCGAGUUCCACCAUUUUUGCUCCAGCUGUGGUGACCUGUGAGUAACCUGUUGAGGUCGACGAGCGUCCUGCUUCCACUUUUGCGUCAGCAGUUUUGUGUUUCAACGUGGCAUUGUCCCCUCAAACAAAACCAGGUCCAGAAAGAAGUGUUUUCCUACUUUCUUGAACUUGACUGACCUGCACAGAACACUAACCCAUCAACCCCAUUCAACUCAAUUAAGUAUUUGCUUUUUUGUUCUGUGUAGUCAGUAAUUAGUCUGUGGGCCAAAUCUUUGAUGGAAUAUAACUUAAUAUACCCUUUUGGGUUAUUGCAAUAUAGCAUCUUUACUAAUAUAUCAUCAUUUUUGUAUAUAAAGUAUAUGGAUUUUUAAAAAAUAUAUAGGCUUGAACAUAAAUGUCUUAAUAUAUAUAUUUUUCUAAUAUUUUCAUUUUUUUGGAAUAUUUUUUUCUUCAUAGUCUAAGUUAUAGCAACUGAUAACGGGGGAAAAAAACCCUCAAUAAAAUAUCGUUCAUAACAGAAUGACCUUGUAGAAAAUAGCAAGUAUGACUAGAUGAAUAGAUGGCAAAUACAAUUCUUUGUGUAUGUGUCCCAAAAUCUGUUGGAGAAAUGCAAAUGUGCUCUCUGUGUAUCCGUCUCCGUUUUCUCUCUAUUCUUUUUUUCCUAUUGAAAAUGCAAGACAAACAACUUGAUGUGACAAAAGAAAGAAAAAUUGAGAAAAAAUUUAUCAAACUGAUGCAACCACAAACAAUCCAUCCGGAGAGAUAUGAUCUGAAGGGGGCAGUGUUGCGCCUUAUGGCUUCAGUCUGAAUAGAGGACUAAGAGUGUGCAACUGUGAUGAUCACCACGUGUAGCUAUGGAACACCUAAAACUGUCAGUUUGUCGGAAAAAUAAAAUUAUAAUUUCACCCCCCCACACACCUCUCUCCUUCAUUUUUGAUGUCUAAAUUACCAGCAUUUGAUUAUGUCCUAAUUAGCCACUUUGCAUUGAUUCAGAAAUCUGACACAGUCUUUAUGAGUUUACUGACGCUGUGGCGCGACGCCCUCACUGCAUUCACUUUAACCAUUACGAUCUUAAGUACUCCUUCAAAUAGACACAAUGACUCAGUAAACACACACACACACAGUCGGUAGUAAAGUGUUAUACGAGGAUGCUGAUUAAACAGAGUGAAUGUCUGCGUUGUUGUGUGUUAGUAGGAAGUCGGUGAUUAUCUCUCCCAUGUGGGCACGUUGGCUUUGCACAUUGAGUCGUGCACCUGAUGAAAGGUUAAAGGUGGACACUUGAAUACACCGAGGUUGAGGUAUGGUGUGUAGGACGGGGUGUUAAGCAUGCUGCUCUGAGGAUGUGAUUACUUGAUCUCCGGGCGGCUGAGAGGAUUGAAAGGAUGACGGAUGAGACAAAGGAGGUGGCAGGAUGUGAAGAUGUGUGGGUGUAGUUCGUCGUUUUGAGAGAAGUAUAGGUAUUCUUCCAGUGUAUCAGCAUGUGUCCACUUUUAUCUCAUGUUAGCGGCGUGAUGUAAACACUGGUACAUGCUUCGUCACUGUGCACAAAUCAAUGCUGUGUUGACUUUAUGGUGGAAAUUUAAAUUCAAGGCUUGAGCUCAAAAACACAUAAAGAGCUUGGAAGUGGAUAUUAAGUGCAAGGAUACGGGGGGAAGGGAAAGGUCUGUUGAAAUUUGAAAACCUUGAGAAGGAGCUGGGAGAAGAUCCUCCAAGGAAACGUCAUUACAAUGUUUAUCAGUUGAAGAGGACUGGUUCAAGUGUGUGUCACUGACGGAGGUAGAGGUAAUGUAAAAUUUGAAGAUGUCCAAAUACAGUCGUAGUGUUUUUCUUUUCUCUAACCAUAUACAUUUCAAUAGUUGCAUUCAUUUUUCGUAACAAUUUUGCCAUGCAAAACAGUUCAAUGUCAGAAUGAAAUACAAUGAAAAACAACACUAAUCAUUUGCCAUCGGCAGUGAGUGUGAUUGCAGCACACGCAUGCAGUUGAACUGAGGUACGAGUCCAGGAUUCUCCAGACAUGCAAAGCACAGAUGAGAGGAAUAAAUCUUGUCACAAAUUCAUUUCCUGUCUCUGAAAUCAUUCCUGAUUACAGGUGUCUCCUUGGCCAUUAUCCUUUCAAUCAUCGUGCACAAUGAGAGCGGGUGGAAAUGAAAUCAGACCACAUUGUGCUGAAGGCAGAGAGACAAUCACGGAACUGAAGUCGGACUGGAAAAUGGGUCAUUCAUUCAAACAUCAUCCAGCUUUUUCGUAUACAAAACCAUAACUAUCUGUGCAAUCAUUCUUCAACCCCCCCGCUCCUUCCCCUUCCCCAACAGUUCCACUGACAUCUGAAGGUUUAUGAAUCGGACAAGACGAGUCUGAACUGAGUCUCCAUGAAUGUGUCUGGUCUUGACAUUCGAAACAGAAAAUCACAUCUUCUGAGAUACUUCACAUCUGCAGUCUUUGAACAGGACAUUAUAAAAUGUUAUGCAGAUAAGAUACGGCAUUCUCCGAGUGAAAACCUCCUGAAACUCCCCUCAGUAUUGCAUCAUUUCGCCGACGCGUUUGCUUCAUGAGAUUUAAGGCAGAGAAUGUGAAUUAUGGAGCAUGAGUUCUACCCCAGCAUUUGUUAGUUUAAAUGAGUUCCCUUAUUCCUGCCUCUGUAUUUGACAUUAUCCAUUUUGCAUGGUAAUGCUGGGUGUAGGCGUACAACCAAGAAUGAAGCAACUUCCAUAAGAGAAGAACAGUUCUUCAUAAGAAUGUGGAGUAUAAUUCAAGAUUACCUCAUCAAAUAUUAAUAUUCUGUGUAGAGGCAGUUUAACUGCAUAACUUUUACAUUAACACCAAUUAUCGCACCAAUUAUGGUUUGAAUUUGAAUGAGCAACUUUGACCAGUAAGUCUGCAAACACCAGAGGAUUAUUUUUUUCUUUAAAGAAUCCUGAUCCUGACGUGUAAAUUUAAAGAUCAGUAAAGUCAGUAAAGCUUGUUUCUUUUUUUUUUUCUGGAGAAGUUUGAAUUUAGGUUUCAAAGACACAAUUGAAUGCAUGAGAUAAACAAAUCCAUUUACUUUGGUGCAACACCUUAUGCUUCUACGUUGAUGACAUUAAAACAUAUAAGUACAUUUUGUCAAACUGUUAAAUGUCUCUUAAUGUACACUUUUUGAACCAUCUUAAACUUGGGGACAUAUAAAUGUUGGGAAGAGCUAGUAGUUUAAUAUCACAUUAGGAGGUGUGCUUUGUUAUAUCAGCUGUGAUUGGGUUUCCAAAGAACGUGGUUAAAGGAUUAUUGAAAAGGAUAUGGAUUAGACCAUUUCUCUGUACUAAAAAACUGAAAAUUGUUAUUGAUUCAUAACAGUGGAUAUUUACUACUGUAAUUAGCUGCUCUCUGGCAUCAGCGGAUUAAUCUCUUUCCUCCCUCCAGAUCAUCCAAAACAGGAUAUUACCUCGGACCAGCGAACAUGACAACAUUUCUCUGAUCCUGGCUUCUCUUCACUGGCUACCUGUUGCCGCUAUUGAUUUCAAGAUUGUAUUGAUUGCUUACAAAGCCCUGAGAGGCCUUGUCCCAAGCUACUUGUCAGAUUUGCUAUUGCCCUUUGUCCUAUAUCUUCCCGCUCCCUCAGAUCAGAGCAUCGAUCCUUCUUGUUCCAAGGUGUAGAUUUAUAAACAAAGGUGACAGGGGCUUUGCAAUCAGGGUCUCUAGACUUUGGAAUGAGGUAAGGGCAGCAAACUUUUCCACAUCUUUUAAGUCACUGUUAAAAAAAACCAUUUGUUUAAAAUUGCUUCUCUGUGAUUUAACUCUCUGGCACCAUAAUUGAUUUUGCUUUAUUUGUG